CAUGUUCUUUUGUGUAUAAUUUAAGAUUUGACCUGCCCGCUGAGUAGUUGAAUGGCCGCGGUAUUUUGACCGUGCAAAGGUAGCAUAAUCAUUAGUUUUUUAAUUGGAAGCUGGAAUGAAUGGUUGGACGAGAAAAUUACUGUCUCUGGUUAAUUUAAGUAGAAUUUAAUUUUUAAGUUAAAAAGCUUAAAUAUUUUUAAAAGACGAGAAGACCCUAUAGAGUUUAAUAUUUGUAAAAAUUUAAUAAGUUAGGUUUAAAAUUUAUAGAUUUUUUUAAGUAUUUUGUUGGGGUGAUAAGAAGAUAAAAUUAACUCUUUUUUUGUUUAAACAUUAAUAUAUGAAUAUUUGAUCCAAUAAUUUUGAUUAAAAGAAUAAAUUACCUUAGGGAUAACAGCGUAAUCUUUUUAGAGAGUUCUUAUCGAUAUAAAGGAUUGCGACCUCGAUGUUGGAUUAAAAUUAAUUUUUGGUGCAGAAGCUAGAAUAUUAAGUCUGUUCGACUUUUAAAAUUUUACAUGAUCUGAGU
Molecule: ribosomal RNA, 523 nt
Filed under: Ptilodactylidae sp. UPOL RK0771
Lineage: Eukaryota; Metazoa; Arthropoda; Insecta; Coleoptera; Ptilodactylidae
Description: partial 16S ribosomal RNA
Rfam family: Bacterial large subunit ribosomal RNA
Source: RNAcentral